RNAcentral lists this ribosomal RNA (253 nucleotides) under uncultured bacterium. RNAcentral's name for it is "partial 16S ribosomal RNA". It matches the Rfam family "Bacterial small subunit ribosomal RNA", at positions 524 to 776 of the family's 1533-position model. The record is from RNAcentral.
GACGUAGGGUGCAAGCGUUGUCCGGAAUUACUGGGCGUAAAGGGCUCGUAGGUGGCCAACUAAGUCAGACGUGAAAUCCCUCAGCUUAACUGGGGAACUGCGUCUGAUACUGGAUGGCUUGAGUUUGGGAGAGGGACGCGGAAUUCCAGGUGUAGCGGUGAAAUGCGUAGAUAUCUGGAGGAACACCGGUGGCGAAGGCGGCGUCCUGGACCAACACUGACACUGAUGAGCGAAAGCCAGGGGAGCAAACGGG